RNAcentral lists this transfer RNA (67 nucleotides) under Bittacus planus. Its description in RNAcentral is "tRNA-Asp". The record is from RNAcentral. Lineage: Eukaryota; Metazoa; Arthropoda; Insecta; Mecoptera; Bittacidae.
AAAGAAUUAGUUAAAUUAACAUUAGUGUGUCAAACUGAAGUUAUUAGUAAUAAACUAAUAUUCUUUA